Molecule: ribosomal RNA, 383 nt
Filed under: Klebsiella pneumoniae
Lineage: Bacteria; Pseudomonadati; Pseudomonadota; Gammaproteobacteria; Enterobacterales; Enterobacteriaceae
Description: bacterial SSU rRNA
Rfam family: Bacterial small subunit ribosomal RNA
Source: RNAcentral
ACUGGCAGGCUAGAGUCUUGUAGAGGGGGGUAGAAUUCCAGGUGUAGCGGUGAAAUGCGUAGAGAUCUGGAGGAAUACCGGUGGCGAAGGCGGCCCCCUGGACAAAGACUGACGCUCAGGUGCGAAAGCGUGGGGAGCAAACAGGAUUAGAUACCCUGGUAGUCCACGCCGUAAACGAUGUCGAUUUGGAGGUUGUGCCCUUGAGGCGUGGCUUCCGGAGCUAACGCGUUAAAUCGACCGCCUGGGGAGUACGGCCGCAAGGUUAAAACUCAAAUGAAUUGACGGGGGCCCGCACAAGCGGUGGAGCAUGUGGUUUAAUUCGAUGCAACGCGAAGAACCUUACCUGGUCUUGACAUCCACAGAACUUUCCAGAGAUGGAUUGG